GUUCCCUUCGUCUAGAGGCCUAGGACACGUCCCUUUCACGGAUGUAACGGGGGUUCGAAUCCCCCAGGGAACGCCA
Molecule: transfer RNA, 76 nt
Filed under: Alphaproteobacteria bacterium
Lineage: Bacteria; Pseudomonadati; Pseudomonadota; Alphaproteobacteria
Description: tRNA-Glu
Rfam family: tRNA
About the family: Transfer RNA (tRNA) molecules are approximately 80 nucleotides in length. Their secondary structure includes four short double-helical elements and three loops (D, anti-codon, and T loops).
Source: RNAcentral